RNAcentral lists this ribosomal RNA (566 nucleotides) under Klebsiella sp. INBio2894D. RNAcentral describes it as "bacterial SSU rRNA". It matches the Rfam family "Bacterial small subunit ribosomal RNA", at positions 173 to 739 of the family's 1533-position model. Lineage: Bacteria; Pseudomonadati; Pseudomonadota; Gammaproteobacteria; Enterobacterales; Enterobacteriaceae. The record is from RNAcentral.
CGUCUCAAGACCAAAGUGGGGGACCUUCUGGCCUCUUGCCAUCAGAUGUGCCCAGAUGGGAUUAGCUUGUAGGUGAGGUAACGGCUCACCUAGGCGACGAUCCCUAGCUGGUCUGAGAGGAUGACCAGCCACACUGGAACUGAGACACGGUCCAGACUCCUACGGGAGGCAGCAGUGGGGAAUAUUGCACAAUGGGCGCAAGCCUGAUGCAGCCAUGCCGCGUGUAUGAAGAAGGCCUUCGGGUUGUAAAGUACUUUCAGCGAGGAGGAAGGCGAUAAGGUUAAUAACCUUAUCGAUUGACGUUACUCGCAGAAGAAGCACCGGCUAACUCCGUGCCAGCAGCCGCGGUAAUACGGAGGGUGCAAGCGUUAAUCGGAAUUACUGGGCGUAAAGCGCACGCAGGCGGUCUGUUAAGUCAGAUGUGAAAUCCCCGGGCUCAACCUGGGAACUGCAUUUGAAACUGGCAGGCUUGAGUCUUGUAGAGGGGGGUAGAAUUCCAGGUGUAGCGGUGAAAUGCGUAGAGAUCUGGAGGAAUACCGGUGGCGAAGGCGGCCCCCUGACAAAGA